CCGCUCCACCGCCCUUCACCAUCUCGGAGGAGUUGGCUCUCGCCAACAACAAAGGUCGGCCAAUGAUGGUAGGAGUGGAUGGGGGGAUGUUCUCUGACCCCACUGCCUCGACAUCGAACCCGUUUGUAACGAGUAUGUAUUCAUGUAUUGGCAAUGGACAUAAAUAAUUGUCUUGCUAAUCAAAUGUGAAAUGAUUGAGUGUAAAUUAAUCGUGUCAUUUUUAGUUGAAGGUACAAACAUUGUUUUGGAGAAGCCGCCGACAAUUAAUCUCCAAUCAGAGGAAACACUGUCGGCCUGUGACUCCAGGGCGACUAUGGAGAGGGAAAUGGCAUUGGAUGAGCCAUCCACCUCCACCUCAACCUCAACCUUCUCAAGGCCUUCUCGAGGGACAGACAAGGUUUUUAUUUAGGUUAUUCCUUUUGUAAGGUGCGCCACAAGGCUUUGACCAUGGUA
Molecule: long non-coding RNA, 453 nt
Filed under: Gadus morhua (Atlantic cod)
Lineage: Eukaryota; Metazoa; Chordata; Actinopteri; Gadiformes; Gadidae
Description: lncRNA (ENSGMOG00000023331.1)
Source: RNAcentral